This 1077-nucleotide long non-coding RNA is filed under the name Equus caballus (horse). Its description in RNAcentral is "lncRNA (ENSECAG00000044031.1)". The record is from RNAcentral. Lineage: Eukaryota; Metazoa; Chordata; Mammalia; Perissodactyla; Equidae.
GAGAGGAGAGCAAUGGGUGUUUUAAUAAGCUUUCUAGGUGACUCAGAUACAAACUAAAGUCUGAAGAAGCUGCUCAGAAGAGUGUCCUUGGAUCAGCAGCAUCAGCGCCACCUGGGAGCUUGUGAGAAAUGCAAAAUCUCAAGCGUCACUCCUACACUGCAGCAGUAUUUGCAUUUAUAACAAGACCAUGGGUGACUCCUCUGCACACAAAAACUUGAGAAGCGCUAUUCCAGAACGCUUUGAAAAAAACAUGCCUUCCAUUAGGAAACUGUCAUCCAGGAGUGUGGCUGAUUAAAAAUGGCCCCGCAUUUCUGCCACUUCUUCCACUAAGAGAUGGUAUCUCUCUCCCAGCCCCUUGAAUCUGUGAGUGCCUGUGACCGGUUUCGAUCAACAGAUAUGGCUAGAGUGAUGCUGUGUACCCUCCAAGGCUAGGUUUUAAGAGAUCUGAAGUGUCUGCCUUCAUCUCUUAGGCCACUUUCUCCUGGGACCCAGCCAAUACACCGUGAGAAGCCCUGGGAGAUGCCAUGAGGAGGAGAACUAAGGCACUCUGGUCCCGCCCCAGCUCAGCUCUCCGCUAACAGCCAACUGGCAGCCCUGUGAGUGAGCCAUGGAAGAUGCUCCAGCCCAGCAUCGAGCACAUGGUUGAAUGCAGGAAGAGUCCUGUUACGUUAUGCAUAUAUUUACUUGCCCACUCGGCUGACAGCAGUGAGAAGAGGAAGGUUCUGGGCCAGAAUGUUCCUGCUGAGAAGACAGGUUCAGACCACAGCCUUCGUUCCAUUGCACGUAUGCCGCCUGUUUGAUGUUGCUGUGGUCCCCAUCUUAGCCCCCCAGUACAUAGCUGUAUAUUCUUCGUUGUGGGUCCUUCUAGUUGUGGCAUGUGGGACGCUACCUCAGCGUGGUUUGAUGAGCAGAGCCAUGUCCGCGCCCAGGAUUCGAACCAACGAAACACUGGGCCGCCUGGAGGGGAGCGCACAAACUUAACCACUCGGCCACGGGGCCAGCCCCUGGAGUCUUUUUAUUAUAAUUAACAGAAAAGAAGCCCCGUAGAUAUGGCAUCAUUAACCCACUUUUCAGCAG